This 2978-nucleotide long non-coding RNA is filed under the name Ananas comosus (pineapple). Its description in RNAcentral is "long non-coding RNA (ACOM_LNC022952)". Lineage: Eukaryota; Viridiplantae; Streptophyta; Magnoliopsida; Poales; Bromeliaceae. The record is from RNAcentral.
GGUGCACAGGGGGAUAAAGAAUUGACGACCAUUACCGACUGUCCCUAGAGCAAGUGGCAAAGGGCUUGGUGGUUGGUACCCGAGACCCAAGUUCGAAUCCUAGUUGAUUCACAUUUCUUGCUAAGUUUAUUUCUAAAUGAAAUAAACGAAGCGGGUAGCAUGCUACCUAUCUCUCAAAAAAAAAAAAAAAUUUGCAACGUGGUGAGUACUACGGUUGGAGCAUAACAGGAGAAUUUUCCAGAAUUCAAGACGGGAUGUUGGGAAGCUUGUUGUUGGAGAUCAGAGUGCUCAGAGAUUUGUGGGAACGGUCUUGUACCUGAAUUGCAUUGUUUUUCUUCCCUCUCUCUUUUUUGUCUUUCUUUCUUUCGUGCUCAUAGUUUUCCUUUCAUUUUUUCUUUUUUCUUGUUUUCUAUCUAUCGAGGCUCUGGUUGCCUCAAUUUGUAGCUAAGUUCACUUUCUAAUUAAAUGAAGCGGUAGCAUGCUACCUUUUCUUUAAAAAAAAAAAAAAGAACAAUUCUCAUAGGUAAGACUAUUAAAUUUAUCGUAAUUGUUUCUUUAAAAUUUGUGCAUUUGACUUCUAUUAGAUGUAACUAGUGUAGGUACCUGCGCGAUGCGGCGGAUAGUUACUGCUAAAAUAAAAAAUUUAUAAAUAAUAAAAUAUCAAUAUAACUAAAUAAAAUAUUAUUAUGUCAAAAAGGGUACAAUAUAGAUAAUUGUAUAGCAAUCGAUGCAACAGGAAAAAAAAUAUUUUAAGUAAAUCCUAAUUAGAGUAUAUAGAAAUAUACUAAUAUAUACAAUAUAGGGCUGGGGCUACUAUAUACUUUUAUGAGUAUAGAACCCCUUGUACUCAUAAAUUUUUAACCGUUGAUUGAUGGGAUGUGUGGUUAGGAUGAUGGUGAUCCCCACUUAGAAUGAUAGUGGUCCCCUAAGGUUGAGUGGGUAGUUGGUUGAAUAGUAUGAUCUAACGGGUGAAAAUGAUUAUGGAAUAAAUCUAAGGGCCGAAAACUUAUGAGUAUAAGGGAGCCAAUACUCAUAAAAGUAUAGUAGCCGGACUCUACAAUAUAGAUUGUUUAUUCAUUUAUUAGUCUGGAAGGUGUAAUAUAAUACGAACAAUAAUUGUGCAAGUAACAUAUAGCAUUUCUAUAACACAUAGCAUUUCAAAAUGUCACUUAUCCAUGCCAAAUCGCUCAAAUUGAACCAAAAAAAUUCUAAUUAACCUCAAAAUAUUGCUAAUUCUCGCCAAAUCACUCAAAUAUAUAUAAAAAAAUUGUUAUAUUUUUUAAAAAAAUACUAACGGAUGGGAUCGGUGGCAUGGAAAUUGCAAAGGCGAAAUGUGUAGAGAAAAAUCAGCGUGAGAACAUUCAAAUAGAAUUAAUCUUGUAAUGAUUGAUACUGAGAGCCUAAAUUUAAAAUCUAAUUCUUUUACAUAUUAGGUAAAUAUAUUUUAAAAUUUCAUAAAAAAAUUAACAAAAUGAAAGAAUGAAACGGUGGCUAUGAAUAAUUGGUCUAGUAAUCAAUUAUGAUUAUAAUUAUCAUUAAUUGAUGAAAUGUUAAUAUACAAAUAAUUGAUGAAAUAUUAAUGAAUCAUAUACUAUACGGCCAAGAACGUAUAGUUAGGGAGGAGAGGGGAGGGGAAGGGGUGGAGGAGAGAGAGUUAUUACAAAAAAAAAAAUAGAAUUAAUAAAUGAAACAUUAUAAUUAAUAUGAGGGGAAGGGGUGGGAGAGAGAGAGUUAUUACAAAAAAAAAAGAGAAAGAAUUAAUAGAUGAAACAUUAUAAUUAAUAGGUGAAACGUUAAUAUAGAAUUAAUUGAUAAAACAUUAAUGAAUUAUAUAGGAGAGGGGUUAAUAGAUUAUUAUAUUAUAUUAUAUAUUAUUAUUAUUAUGAAGAUGAAGGGUUUCUUGCCACGUGGCAAGAAAUAUUGUGGCUUUAUUUAGGUUAAUAGGUGGUCAUAUAAGAAAUGUCAAUAUUAAAUUUUUAUUCAGGCUAGUCAAUCAAUUUAUGUUUAUUUUUUUUUUCAAAAAAUGCCAAUUAUGAAAAAUGGAAGGUAAGGACAUACAAAACUCACUUAAAAAUAUAAAAUAUUUUGAAUUGAUUAUCCAAUCUUUCAAAAUUUUAUUUUUACUAUUCAAUAUUUUAAUUUAUUUGAUUAGAACCAACCAACGACACUUCGAUUUCAAAAUAUAAACUAAUUUAUUACUUUAAUAAGCUUAUAAUACAAAAAUUACCUAAAAUAUGCUAAAUAAAUCUGUAAAUAUAAAUAAAUUUUUUAAAUUUUGAAGUAAAAUAUCGUUGACUGAAGGCAUUUAGCUCUCCCACUAUUUUUUUUUUUUUUUGAGAGAGAUAGGUAGCAUGCUGCCCGCUCCGUUUAUUUCAUUUAGAAAUAAACUUAGCUCGAAAUAUAAAUCAACUAGGAUUUGAAUUUGAGUUUCGGGUACCAACCAUCAAGCCCUUUGCCGCUUGCUCUAGGGACGGUCGGUCUCUCCCACUUUAUAAUAGCCCACGGAGCGGACGGUGUCGAUGUUCCGACCAUAAUUCUUAACACAUUUUCACUUAACCCCCUCGGCAAUUGUGUUAUUAGUAUGAAACCCCAUCCAGCUCCGAUUCUCAUAGAAUUUUUUUUUACAGUAAUUCUAUUAAAAUUUUUAAUGUGUCAAAUAAUUUUUUCAAAAUUUUAUUUGAUCAACUAACUUGAGAAAUACAAUGAAGUAUUUACCGCCUUCAGAGAGAAGCGGUGAAUGAUUCGUCAUUUUUAUAUUAUUUUUAUAAAAAUUGUAAGAAUUUUUUUAAGUUAUUAAAAUUAUAUGAGGAUUAUCUAAGUUUUAUUUAUAAUUAAAAUUAUAUAAAUAGAUUGUUAGAAUAUUUUAAGUUAUUAAGAUUAUACGUAAUUUAUUAAAAUUUUAUAUAAUUAUUAAAAUUAUAUAUAGAAAUUGAAAGAAACAAUAAAUUAUUCUUCAUUUUGUAUUUGUUUAAAAAAUA